Molecule: long non-coding RNA, 230 nt
Filed under: Elaeis guineensis (African oil palm)
Lineage: Eukaryota; Viridiplantae; Streptophyta; Magnoliopsida; Arecales; Arecaceae
Description: long non-coding RNA (EGUI_LNC041576)
Source: RNAcentral
AGAAAGUAGAGAGAGUUUUCAUAUCUCUCAAAAGAGGAAUCCAUGAUGAAGAUCAUCAGGGGUCAUGCCAGGAUGACUCAGUGGAGAUUAAGAGUGAUCAGAUUCUAUGAAUACCUGGUAAGGGCUAGGCUUGGAUUCAACCUAUCACACGGAUAUCAAAGCGACUCCGAAUCUUUUUGAGAACAUCAUAUCAAGUUCAUACUAGGGUUCGUGGAUCAAAUAGGGGGAGA